RNAcentral lists this long non-coding RNA (248 nucleotides) under Lynx pardinus (Iberian lynx). Lineage: Eukaryota; Metazoa; Chordata; Mammalia; Carnivora; Felidae. The record is from RNAcentral.
AAGGUUCUGGACCUACCUCAAUAGCUUUUGCUGCUUGUUCUUUUGUUUCAAAUUCCACAAAGGCAAAUCCCUUCAGAUCUCCAGUAGAUUUAUAAUGUGGUAUACUUAUAUAAACAAUGGGGCCACAUUUCCCUAAUACUCUUGCAAUCCAGCCAUGAUUAACAUUUUUGGGAAGUAAUGCCUACGAUAAAUUAGAAGCAAUAUUAAAUAUACAAUUACUGUUUCUCCAGGUCAAUAAAUUUUUACUU